GACAGAGGGGGCAAGCGUUGCUCGGAAUUACUGGGCGUAAAGGGCGCGUAGGCGGAAUGGCAAGUCGGUCGUGAAAUCCUUCGGCUCAACCGAAGAACGUCGAUCGAAACUGCCGUUCUUGAGGAUUGCAGAGGAGACUGGAAUUCCACGUGUAGCAGUGAAAUGCGUAGAGAUGUGGAGGAACACCGAUGGCGAAGGCAGCCCCCUGGGCUAACACUGACGCUCAGGCACGAAAGCGUGGGGAGCAAACAGG
RNAcentral lists this ribosomal RNA (253 nucleotides) under uncultured bacterium. RNAcentral describes it as "partial 16S ribosomal RNA". It matches the Rfam family "Bacterial small subunit ribosomal RNA", at positions 524 to 776 of the family's 1533-position model. The record is from RNAcentral.